GAGCGUCAUUACAACCCUCAAGCAAUGCUUGGUGUUGGGCCCUGUCGCUAAUCUGGCAAGUCCUAAAAUCAGUGGCGGUGCUGCUGGGCCCCUAAGCGUAGUAACCUAUCUCGCUACAGGGUCCUGGUAGAUGCUUGCCAUCAACCCCUAAAUUUUUAAUAGUUGACCUCGGAUCAGGUAGGGAUACCCGCUGAACUUAA
RNAcentral lists this unclassified non-coding RNA (200 nucleotides) under soil metagenome. RNAcentral's name for it is "partial contains internal transcribed spacer 2 and large subunit ribosomal RNA". The record is from RNAcentral.